Long non-coding RNA from Sinocyclocheilus rhinocerous, 289 nucleotides. RefSeq lists it as uncharacterized. The record is from RefSeq and is a predicted model, not a curated record. Lineage: Eukaryota; Metazoa; Chordata; Actinopteri; Cypriniformes; Cyprinidae. The transcript is spliced from 3 exons.
GGGAAAUGGAUUGUCCGUGAAGGUGUCUCUGAUAUCUGGUCAUUUAUGAACUCACUGAAGCGUGCAAACAGCUCAUGGAUCAAUGUUGGCCCAAAAACUCCUGCAAACACUGCAACCCUCUAUCACGAGUACAUCAUAAAUGGAGACCGUUUCAUUUAUAUUAUCAAGUUAUGAUAGUAUAAGUUUAUACUAUCAACAUAACUCUUAAAGACAGCACCUUUUAUCGCUUUGAAAAUGACACAUUAGAAGGCAAAUUUCUGCCAUCCUGCCCUGACUGCCUCACCAUGCA